RNAcentral lists this ribosomal RNA (441 nucleotides) under Streptococcus mitis. RNAcentral's name for it is "bacterial SSU rRNA". It matches the Rfam family "Bacterial small subunit ribosomal RNA", at positions 28 to 461 of the family's 1533-position model. Lineage: Bacteria; Bacillati; Bacillota; Bacilli; Lactobacillales; Streptococcaceae. The record is from RNAcentral.
GACGAACGCUGGCGGCGUGCCUAAUACAUGCAAGUAGAACGCUGAAGGAGGAGCUUGCUUCUCUGGAUGAGUUGCGAACGGGUGAGUAACGCGUAGGUAACCUGCCUGGUAGCGGGGGAUAACUAUUGGAAACGAUAGCUAAUACCGCAUAAUAGCAGUUAUUGCAUGAUAACUGUUUGAAAGGUGCAAUUGCACCACUACCAGAUGGACCUGCGUUGUAUUAGCUAGUUGGUGGGGUAACGGCUCACCAAGGCGACGAUACAUAGCCGACCUGAGAGGGUGAUCGGCCACACUGGGACUGAGACACGGCCCAGACUCCUACGGGAGGCAGCAGUAGGGAAUCUUCGGCAAUGGACGGAAGUCUGACCGAGCAACGCCGCGUGAGUGAAGAAGGUUUUCGGAUCGUAAAGCUCUGUUGUAAGAGAAAGAAACGAGUGUGAG